Molecule: ribosomal RNA, 782 nt
Filed under: uncultured bacterium
Lineage: Bacteria
Description: bacterial SSU rRNA
Rfam family: Bacterial small subunit ribosomal RNA
Source: RNAcentral
UUAGAGUUUGAUCCUGNCUCAGGAUGAACGCUAGCUACAGGCUUAACACAUGCAAGUCGAGGGGCAGCGGGAUUGAAGCUUGCUUCAAUUGCCGGCGACCGGCGCACGGGUGAGUAACGCGUAUCCAACCUUCCGCUUACUCGGGGAUAGCCUUUCGAAAGAAAGAUUAAUACCCGAUGGUAUCUUAAGCACGCAUGAGAUUAAGAUUAAAGAUUUAUCGGUAAGCGAUGGGGAUGCGUUCCAUUAGGCAGUUGGCGGGGUAACGGCCCACCAAACCUACGAUGGAUAGGGGUUCUGAGAGGAAGGUCCCCCACAUUGGAACUGAGACACGGUCCAAACUCCUACGGGAGGCAGCAGUGAGGAAUAUUGGUCAAUGGGCGAGAGCCUGAACCAGCCAAGUAGCGUGAAGGAUGACGGCCCUACGGGUUGUAAACUUCUUUUGUGCGGGAAUAAAGGAACCUACGUGUAGGUUUUUGCAUGUACCGUAACGAAUAAGCAUCGGCUAACUCCGUGCCAGCAGCCGCGGUAAUACGGAGGAUGCGAGCGUUAUCCGGAUUUAUUGGGUUUAAAGGGAGCGUAGACGGGUUUUUAAGUCAGCUGUGAAAGUUUGGGGCUCAACCUUAAAAUUGCAGUUGAAACUGGAGACCUUGAGUACGGUUGAGGCAGGCGGAAUUCGUGGUGUAGCGGUGAAAUGCUUAGAUAUCACGAAGAACCCCGAUUGCGAAGGCAGCCUGCUAAGCCGCCACUGACGUUGAGGCUCGAAAGUGCGGGUAUCAAACAGG